Molecule: ribosomal RNA, 498 nt
Filed under: uncultured bacterium
Lineage: Bacteria
Description: partial 16S ribosomal RNA
Rfam family: Bacterial small subunit ribosomal RNA
Source: RNAcentral
AUUGAACGCUGGCGGAAUGCUUUACACAUGCAAGUCGAACGGCAGCACGGGGCAACCUGGUGGCGAGUGGCGAACGGGUGAGUAAUACAUCGGAACAUGCCCAGUCGUGGGGGAUAACGUAGCGAAAGCUACGCUAAUACCGCAUACGAUCUACGGAUGAAAGCGGGGGAUCGCAAGACCUCGCGCGAUUGGAGCGGCCGAUGGCAGAUUAGGUAGUUGGUGGGGUAAAGGCUCACCAAGCCGACGAUCUGUAGCUGGUCUGAGAGGACGACCAGCCACACUGGGACUGAGACACGGCCCAGACUCCUACGGGAGGCAGCAGUGGGGAAUUUUGGACAAUGGGCGCAAGCCUGAUCCAGCCAUUCCGCGUGCAGGAUGAAGGCCCUCGGGUUGUAAACUGCUUUUGUACGGAACGAAAAGGCUCUGGUUAAUACCUGGGGCUCAUGACGGUACCGUAAGAAUAAGCACCGGCUAACUACGUGCCAGCCGCCGCCGUAA